RNAcentral lists this long non-coding RNA (218 nucleotides) under Nicotiana benthamiana. RNAcentral's name for it is "long non-coding RNA (NBEN_LNC010447)". Lineage: Eukaryota; Viridiplantae; Streptophyta; Magnoliopsida; Solanales; Solanaceae. The record is from RNAcentral.
GACGAUUAUAAUUUCAUCUAUUGCCACGUCCACAUCCAUUGAUAACUUCAUGGUAAUAAUUUUGUCUUCUUUCAGACUUAUCAGAUACUGCUAUCACAUUCUCUAAAGGGAAUGAGAAUGAAGCAAAUUCAAUGGGACGGAUUUCCAAUUCUUUGCCCACAAUCAUACAUGAAUUUAAUCAUGGCAAGACAUAGAACUUUUACCACUUCACGUGGUUA